GACGAACGCUGGCGGCGUGCUUAACACAUGCAAGUCGAACGGUGAUGCUCCAGCUUGCUGGAGUGGAUCAGUGGCGAACGGGUGAGUAACACGUGAGCAACCUGCCCCAGACUCUGGAAUAAGCGCUGGAAACGGCGUCUAAUACUGGAUACGAAACUGGCCCGCAUGGGCAUGGUUUGGAAAGUUUUUCGGUUUGGGAUGGGCUCGCGGCCUAUCAGCUUGUUGGUGAGGUAAUGGCUCACCAAGGCGACGACGGGUAGCCGGCCUAAGAGGGCGACCGGCCACACUGGGACUGAGACACGGCCCAGACUCCUACGGGAGGCAGCAGUGGGGAAUAUUGCACAAUGGGCGAAAGCCUGAUGCAGCGACGCCGCGUGAGGGAUGACGGCCUUCGGGUUGUAAACCUCUUUCAGCAGGGAAGAAGCGAAAGUGACGGUACCUGCAGAAGAAGCACCGGCUAACUACGUG
Molecule: ribosomal RNA, 468 nt
Filed under: uncultured bacterium
Lineage: Bacteria
Description: partial 16S ribosomal RNA
Rfam family: Bacterial small subunit ribosomal RNA
Source: RNAcentral